GCAGCCGCGGUAAUACGGAGGAUGCGAGCGUUAUCCGGAUUUAUUGGGUUUAAAGGGUGCGUAGGCGGGCUGUUAAGUCAGCGGUGAAAGGCGGCGGCUCAACCGUCGGACUGCCGUUGAAACUGGCGGCCUUGAGUGCGUUUGAAGUGGGCGGAAUGUGCGGUGUAGCGGUGAAAUGCAUAGAUAUCGCACAGAACGCCGAUUGCGAAGGCAGCCCACUAAGCCGCAACUGACGCUGAGGCACGAAAGCGCGGGGAUCGAACAGGAUUAGAUACCCC
RNAcentral lists this ribosomal RNA (278 nucleotides) under uncultured Ruminococcus sp. Its description in RNAcentral is "partial 16S ribosomal RNA". It matches the Rfam family "Bacterial small subunit ribosomal RNA", at positions 511 to 788 of the family's 1533-position model. The record is from RNAcentral. Lineage: Bacteria; Bacillati; Bacillota; Clostridia; Eubacteriales; Oscillospiraceae.